Molecule: long non-coding RNA, 676 nt
Organism: Hyaena hyaena (striped hyena)
Lineage: Eukaryota; Metazoa; Chordata; Mammalia; Carnivora; Hyaenidae
Exons: 3
Source: RefSeq, a predicted model, not a curated record
CUUACAUAAUGCUGCUGAUUAUGUACCAGGCACUGUUCUAACUGGUUCACAUUGACGAGAUGAAUUAAUCUCACAAUAUUUCUAUGAGUAUGAACAUGAAAUACUUGACAUCUGUCAGGCUGACUGGAAAAGGAAGGCCCAAAUCACUCAUCUUCGUAAGGGUGGACCUAUUCUACUGAAGAAUUGAUGUAAGAAGAUAACAGAACAAAAAUCAACAUAUAAACAAACAAGUGUGAGCAAUGCCUGGAUUAUAUCUGCAUUUUAAGUGAGAAGAAGAAAAGUAGAAGAGAACAAGAAAUGAAAGAAGUUAUCCUACACCAGGAAAACAAAAAUUUUUUAAGAAAUCCCUAAAUUACAGUCAUUUAUAUCUUAUUGGCCUGAAGUGUUCACAAUGUCACCAACAGCCACAAAGAAGUUCAGGAAAGCAAAUAAUUCCCAAAAGACAACUGCAGUUUUCAUAGCAAGGAAGAACAGAAGGAUGGUUAUUGGGUAGGCAACCUGCAGAGCCCAAAGCCAACAGCGCGACCAGGCGUGGAUUUUGGUAACACAAAUAGACAAAUACAUCAGUGAUGCAGGGCCAAGCUCUCCAUAGUAGCCCACGAAGUUACAUAGGAUUUUGUUAUAACAAGUCAACUCUAGACAGAUGCGAUAUAAAACUCUUAUAUCUAGAUAUAAA